CAUAGUGAGUGGUAGAGCUAUGAAUAAGCACAGUCUUUCAGAUGCCAAAUAACAUGCUUUUAUCAUACCACGAUUCUAUGAAAAUAUUUAAGAUAUUGUCUAAGAUCCAUAUUAAAUCAUAUACCUCAUUAUAUUACCAUAUAUAAAAUACAAGUAAGAAUCUGAGCGAGAAUACCUAUUUUUUAUUGUCUACAUCUAGAAGAUAUUAGGUUGGUGCAAAAAUAAUUGUGGUUUUUGCCAUUACUUUUGCACCAACCUAAUAUUUAUACUGCAUUGUUUCUACAAAGACCCAGUGGUUCAUAAUGUAACACUAAAAUUAAUAUUAUCAACAUAGAUUUGAAGUGUUACCUCCAAAUGUAUAAAAUAUCAACCAUCAUCACGUGCUUUGUAAAUAUUCCAACUACACAAUCCUAGCCCACUAAAUUUGAGCCAUAGGCAUUCUGCAUAGAAGCAGGUUAUAAAAUACUUAAUCUUUUUUACAAGAAACAGAAGACCUAAUAAAGGUGUUCUCAGGAAACUUUACUGUACAAGAAACAGAACACCUUAUAAAGAUGUUCUCAGGAACAUCUACUGUACACUUCUACCAUCUUCCUUAACAAGGCCAAUCACAGUUUAAUGCCGAAUUCUAGCUUUUACAGUUUAGCAGAGACACUGAAAUAGGAUUGAGAUCGAUUGAAUAAGCUUUUCCUUAAACAGUCAGAGAAAAAUACCUAAAAGUUGGCUUACCAGUCAUUUAAGAAAAAGCAAGUUAUUUUAUUUGUGCACAGCAAAUUACUUUUAAAAUUAUUUGCUCAGGAUUCCUAGAUAAACCGAUGGAUUUCAAGCUCAGAUUAUAAGGGAAUGAAAGAAUAAUCAGCAAAUUCAUAAAUACUCCCCCCAUGGUUAAAAAAAAAAGCACCCUUUGUUGAAGAUCUUAUUUCUUGACUGUAAUAGCAAUAUACACAAUAGUGCUAUUAUCUAUAUCCCAGCUAUGAAAUAUAGGAAGAAAGCUACAAUAAAUUUAUUAAAAAUAUAAUUUUUACACAUAGAUGUUAUUGGUCUUUAUUGAAGAAGAACGUCUUCAUUAAAAUAAAGAAUUUAACAAAUAAAUUCAAUUGAAACCCUAAUAAAUGAAUCUACUUGCUUUCUUCACUAUUACAGGUAAUAGCUACUUAUUUAUCUCUACUCAUCCAUGUACCUAUUCCUGAGUUCUGGUUUUUGAGUCAAACAGGAAAUGAAGAAGCCAUUUUGCCAAAGCAAGAGAAACUUCUAUAUGUCUCUAGUAAAUUUUCUAGGCAACUGAGUUUUAGCAUUAGUGAAAAGGAAUUUCCAUUAGCUCAAUAUAGAUACAUAAAAAUUCCAGGUUGAAAUUUGACAUUCUUUCUUUCAAUACUCUGACCUUUAAGAAACUUUUCCUGACUUACAUAGUCUCUGCUUAUUCCUUAUUCUGCAAUCCCUAUGGAUUUAUACUUUUAUGUACACUAUUAAUUUGCAUUAUUUUGAUGUGUUUCUCCUAUUGCUAUUAAGUCACCAAUGGCUAAAUAUGUGUUCUCUCUCCAACUAUAAAAACCUCCCCUACUUUUAUUUUUCAUACUAUUGAACACAGAGCUAUGACAAGGAAGGAACACUUUGAAUGUUAACAUCAUCACUCUACAGGAAGAUACUGUUUGCUACCAUCAAAACGACCAAGAGUAGAUAAUUUCAUUUGUACUGAGAGUCUAUACUUUAGCAGAAAUUUCUUUAGAAUACAUAUAUACCUUGUAAUGCCAGGCUCCACUCCCCUAUAGCAUAUAAUUAAUGAUCUUUUUUAUUAUUGAUAAACUUUAUCAGGAAAAUACUUUAUCAUUUACCAAAAUUCAAAUAGCUAUCUUGGUGGCAAAUCCUAUUAAGGUUUUCUGAAGAAGAUUUCUUAUGUCAAAUUACCUUAGAAAAAAGGAGAAGCAUGAGAAUUCAUUAUGUUAAGAAGGUUGCCGCCAAGAGAAGUUAAGUUGCAUUUAGAAACUAGGAAGCCAGAGGCUUCUGAUUCAUGUUUAAAACACAUAGAAAAAUGCCUACAGCAAAUAAAAUAUUCCUUAAAGUAACCCCAUUUAAUAAUUUAAUCCAAUAUAAGUCAUCAGCGAUUGUCCAUGGAAGAAUAGGCCUCUACUACUUGCUCAGUUUUUAAUAGCUAUAUGGAAAUAUAAUUGACAUACUUUACAAUUCACACAUGUAAGGGUACAAUUCAAUGGACGUUAGUAUGUUUAGAUAUAUGCAACCUUUACUGCAGUCAAUUUUAGAAUAUUUUCAUCACCUCAAUAUAAAACCUGUACUCUUUAGCUAUCAUCCCCUAGUCCUCCUCCCCGCCACCCAUUCCUUUUAUCUUUAAGAACACCAUUAUCUGCUUUCUAACUCUAUAGAUUUUCCUAUUCUUGACUUUCAAAUGACUGGAGUCAUAUAAUAAUGGACUCUGCGACUGACUUCUUCCACUUAGCAUAAUGUUUCCAAGGUUCAUCAAAGUAACAUAUAUCAGUACUUGAUUCCUUUUUAUGGCUAACUAAUAUUCCAUUACAUGAAUAUACCAUAUUUCACUUAGCCAGUCAUCCAUUGAUAGACACUUGAGUGGUUUUCAACUUUUGGCUAUUAUGAAUAGUGUUGCUAUAAACAUUUCAUACAGGUUUCUGUGUAGACAUAUGUUUUUAUUUCUUUGGGGUAUAUAUCAAGAGUGGUAUUUCUGGGUCAUAUGGUAACUCUAUGUUUGUUUAAGGAACUGUCAGACUGUUCUCCAAAGUGGUCCCAUUUUACAUUCCCACCAGCAACGUAAGAGGGUAUCAAUCUGUCCACAUCAUCACCAACAUUUAUCAUUGUCUGACUUUUUUAACUAGCCAUCCUAGUGUGUAUAAGAUGGUAUCUCUUGAUGAUUUUCAUUUGCAUUUCCCUGAUGACUAAUGAUGUUAAACAUCUUUUCAUGUGCUUAUUGGCCAUUCGGGUAUUUCCCCGGAGAAAUGUCUUUUGCAUUCUUUGCUGAUGUUUUUAAUUUGCUUGUCUUUUUAUUAUUGAGUUGAAAUUCUUUAUAUAUUCCAGAUACAAAGCCCUUAUCAGACAUAUGAUUUAAAACUUUUCUCCUAUUCUGUGGUUGUCUUUUCACUUUUCUGAUCCCUUUCUUAAUAACUAAGCCCUGAUUCCUUAGAAAUACUUUCACAUUCACUCUGGAAGCCACGUUGAUUUCUAGACACUCCUACCAGUUGUAGAUUCCAAGCUACAACCACCUGGAUGUGUUUUAUUUCAUCAAGCACAGAUAAGCAGAUCAUCACAAGUAGGAUCUGAAUUUUAUUAUCAGCUGUUUUCCUUCCUGUAGUUUUCCAAAAGUAUCAUGAUAAAAAUUCCCCCCUAAAAAGAAAAUGUAGAGCUAAUUUAGAACUUCUAGAGAAUAUCUAAUUCAUUUCCUUAUUUUUCUCCAUCUAUCUGAGAAAGAGAUCUGUCUCUCCCUUUGUCUUAUCACUUGUUUAAAUUCCCCAGAAGAGACUCCACUCUUGUGCUUACCCUUCGGCUUUGCCAUAAAGAAGGACAUAACUAGUAACAGACACUUUGGCUGUUUAAAACCAUUAUUUUGAGUUCUCCAAACACAGAUUUUAGAAAUACUCUUCAAACAACAAAUUCUUUGAGAAAAUAUCUAUUCUGGAAUUCUGCUUUGUUCUAAGUCUAACAAGUCAGCAUUUCUACUGAUGACUCUAUUAUUGCCAGAACUGUUUCAUUUAUUGCAAAUUGCAUAAGGCAGUUUUGGCUCUCAAGAUUUUAGACCAGAUGCAAGUUUCAAAGAAUUUUUUUUCUGAAGAUGUGUUAGCUAUUCUGUGAUUUGAGAGUCCAAAUAAAUUUGGAUAUUUCCUACCCUCCAAACUUAAAACCUGAAUAAUUGCCUCAAACAGUAGUUUUGAAAUUCUCCUGAUUCGAUGCUGGUUGGCAUAUUUCUAAGUGGAGUGAUCAGAGUAGAUAUCUUGAAAUGUUCAUUAUUGUAUUCUGGAACCAAUGAAAAACUUAUCCCUUACACAUAAUUAUCAUUACUAUCUACAUAGAGUUUUGGCUCUAGUUAUCAAUUGUUUUAAGACAUGGUCUUAUAUUUAGGUGAUGUGAUGCUAUGCUAUUUUCUCUUUUACGUGACUCUACUCCUUGCUGCAUGCUGUAUCUCUUCCAUUCAUUCUGUGCCUUUAGAAAUCACUGGAAACCCUCAAGAUAAAGCCUGAACUUACAGAGAAGAACAAAAAGACUUCUGAUUUGCAGCAAUAUCGUAAAUAAGUGAUGUUGAAAGAAAUUACAUAAACAGUUAUAGAUCUCACUGGAUACAGAACUUCUUUGGAAUGAAUAUUAUCAGUCCUGUAUUCCAGAAAACAACAAUGUACAAGGUAAACUUUGUGUCAUAACCUCCUAAGAAUCAAAUUUCUUUAAAAAUGCAGAGUUAAUCUGGUCAUUAAUGUUCAUUCAACAAAUACUGGGCAAUAUUUGUCCAGUAUUCAACAAAUACUGGACAAAACAUCAUGCUAGAUAACAAGAGAAAAAAAAGUUAGAUGAAAGACAUCUAUUCCUGUUCCCCAAGGAGAUAAUAAUCUAGCUGAGAAAAUAAAGUAAGCAUCAGCGACAACGUUAGUCUUAGGCAAAAUAUGGUAAGUACUAUAACAGAUAUAAAGUGCUUCGGGUUUUAGAGUAAGAAGUAUCAUUCCCUUGUCAGAGCCAAGAAAGCUUCAUGGAGGUGCUCAAACACUGGCUCAAAUGCAAUAUGUAGCUAGAACAAUUUUUAAGCUCUGAACAUUUUCAUAAACUAGGUAGAGGAGGGAAAAUGAUUUCCAUAAGUGUACUACAUUAUGAGUGUACUCACACUGCCUUUCUAUGACCUAAACACUGAGCCUUAAAUUAGGGACCCACAAACUUUUUCUGAAAAGGGCCAGAUAGUAAAUAUUUUGGGCAUUGCAGGCCAUAUGUUCUCUGUUGCAAUUACUGCACUAUGCCAAAGACAAUAUAUAAACAAAUGAGCGCGACCAUGUCCCAAUGGUAAAACUUUACUUAUGGACACUGAAAUCUGAAUUUCAUAUAAUUUUUACAUGAAAAAAAGUAUAUUUUUUCAACCACUUAAAAAUGUAAAAACAUUGCUUAGCUCACAGGCUUCCAAAAAAAAAUAAAACAGGUUAUAGGCUGGAUUUAGCCUGCAGGCUGUAGGUAGACAGUCCCUGUUAUGCUUUAGAAUGUUAGCUUCGCAACCCAGCUAAACUUUUCUUUGUAAUUUUCUAUCUACCACACCUUCCUCAGACUGCAUCUUUCCAAAAUAAUCUUUAUAGAACAUCCAUAGGGGAAAAAAAAACUCUUCCCUUCCUAUACACGUUUGUAGCUACACUUUAAGACAUUUCAGCUCUUUUCUCAUUUUCUUGGAAUGAAUCAACAAAUAUGUAUAUCAUAUGUGCUAUAUUAUAUUUCAUAGUUUUCUACAAGUGCAGAGGUACCAGUUUUGUUUGGAUUUUAUACUCCAAUGCCCUUCCAGGUGAUAAUAUUUUACUGAAUUUUUUAAAGCAAUAACAACGUAUGGGUCAAAGACAAUGAAUAUUUAAUAUAGAGGCACAGGAGGAGAUGAAGCAUAAAUUAUGUAUUUUAUCCUAAAGGGGAAUUUUGAAAUAAUUUUCUAACAUGAAUGCUCCACCUACUAGUAUUCAAGAGCCUAUUCUUGUGAUCUUCACGAAAGGACAUUUGCAGGAUGCACACCGGGAAUCUUAUUUCUAUGUUGUCUCAUUAAAUCUCAUUUGAUCUACACUUUCACCCUGUGGAAGAUAUGUUAUAUCAUUUCCAUUUUUAAAAGUUUGAAGAGAUUUGCUGUUCACAUCUCCUGAUCCGAAGUUAAGCUUCUCCUGGGUAAAGCAGAGAUGGAGUUGUAGACAAAAAUUGUGUGUGUGUGUAUGUUUCUGUGAGUUUUCUUAAUGUUUCUUAACUGAUUUUAGUGAGCCUCUUUAGCAAACCUGGACAUCAAACAUGUAUUUCUUUAUAAACCCUUUAAGUGAAGUAUAAAAAUCCAUCCAGAAAAGUUAUUAAUCCUAAGUGAACAGCUUAAUGAAAAGCAUUUAACAUGUUCAUGUGACAUGUGCAGAUCAAGAAACAGAACAUCAACAGCAUCCCAGAAAAUCCCUCUCUAGUCCCCCACAAUCUCUACCCCAUCUAUCCUCUCCACCAAACAAAUAUCUUUCAUAUCAACUUCUGUUCUGUUUUGACAUUAUUUAAAGCUAUGCAUCAACACCAUAUCCUUCUGCCCAGUGCUAUCAUCUCAACUAAAAUGUCUUUAUAGCUUUAUGCCUUUUGUGACACAGCAUAUUAAAAUUAUUAAUAGUAACUUGUCCUCCAGUAAGAAAAUUCUGGUUACAUUACUUACUAGUUUUGUCACUAUGAACAAGUUACUUAACCCCUCUAAGGCUCAGUGGUUUCCUCAGUCAUAAAAUUUAGACAAUACUGGUAUCUAUCUUUGUGAGAUUAUCAUGGGGAAAAAUGAUAAAAUAUACGUAAACUUGCUAACACUCUGCUCGUUAUCUAGUAAGAAAACAAUACAUAAUAUUUAUCAUUAUAAUUUCAGUAUUUACUAGUGUGGCAUGAUUAUAGGCAGUCAAUAAAUAUUUGAGUCCCUAUCCUGGGCUCUGGGUAACUCAGCUUGUAUAAACUACAUAAAUCUCUACCUAUACAUAACCCAAUUCCCUCUCUAAUUUUAAAUACAAUCAAGAUAAUCCUAAAUCUAAAACAACUGUUAGUAACUCUUCAUUAUUUCUAAAAUCAAAUUCACAAUAUAUGCAUAUUUGUGUGUAUAACUCUCCUAAAAUGAAAUACUUUCCACCUGGUUUCUCCUCAAAAUCUAUCUGUUAAGACCCAUUCCAAAUACUGCCUCCCAUAGUACAUCUUUACUUAAUCUGAUUCCAGGUAAUCUCUGAAGGGCCAGGUUCUGUUACUUUCCUGAAGCCCUUCCAUUGUCUCUCUUGGACAAGAGAAAUACAUGAGUGACCACACUGCACUUUCUAUAGGACAGUCUCCCUGAGCACAGGAACUGUUGUCUAGAUCACUUACAGCCAGCCCAGCAUUAUAUUUUACAUAUAAUAACAAUAAUAUACUAAAAAUCAUGCUAUCAGACAAGUAUGUAGAAAUUUAUACUUUAAUUCUUUUAUCAACCUUCAAAACAUGAGAGCUGCAUAAUAUAAUUAUUCUCAGUUUGCAAUUGUUUAAUUUGACAAACACAGAUAUACCACUUACUACGCCCCAGCAGGACUGGCAUGCUUUGCAUAGUAUAACUCACUUAAUCCUACUGGGUGAUAUAGGCAUUAUCAUUGUCCUCAUUUUACAGAUAAGGAGAAUAAGACAAAAUAGUUGAACAAGUAGCCCAAAGUCACCCAGAUAGUAAAACAAAUAAGUGAGGCUCAUCCUCAGGCAGGCCACCUAACUACCAUGCCACCAUGUACUGCAGCCUGCAUCAUGACGGGCCACCAAUAAGUAGGUGAAGAAAUUGAUUGAAGAUAGACUUACAAUUAAAGCUUUGGUCUAUAAUUAAAUCAGUGUGUAAAAAAUGGAUUUUCUAACUAUGGGGGUGGGGGAGAUUGAUGUUCCUCUUAUGCCUCAAUCUCUUCAUCACCUGCUUCCUUUUCAGCUAAGCACAGUGUACUAGAGAGCUUAGCUCAUCCAUAGGGCUUGUUGCAGGCACAACAAGGAAUCACUGUGGGUUUUCAUGUCCUAGAAGUAGAUGUAGCUAAAAAGCAUUAAUAUGUUUUUGCAAAAAAAGAUUAACAAAUUCUUGUUUUCAAAAAUCAAAGAACUUAAAUUAUAGUAGGAUAAUCUACUUUCAUAAUCAGUAUUAACUUUUUAGAUCAGUAUUAACUUGUUCAAUGACCAGGCAUUUCUUAUGUGGAUUUGCUUUUCUUAUCUUCAAUGCAUGUUUAUUAAAUAUCUGCUCUGUGCAUUGCACUAUCCUAAGUUUCAGAGAUACUAAAAUAUUAAGACAUUAUUUCAAAUGUUUUAUCAUUUAGUUUUCUCUUUUAAGAAGUAUCUUUUUUCCUUCUUUAACUGGUGGUCUUAAUUGAGAUAACAUCUACAGAGCAUUUUCUAUUUCUUGGAAAGCAGGUGACACCUUAUAAAGUUUUAUGCAAGCAUUAUGGUUAACAUAUGGCAAAUUAUUCUAGGCAAAUGCUGUUUAUAGAUCUUUCAAACGUUUUUCACUUAGUUUAAAUUUGUAUUGAUCUAAUUGCAAUUCUUACACUUCUUAAGGAAAAAACUAAUUUUUUUUCUCUCAGGUAAAAUGAGUAAAACACCCAGAGAAUACUUAGCAGUCUGGGAAGAAUAUUUUAAAGAUUCUAUCCCUAUUUGCCUCUUCCCUCUAACUAGCAUGAACACAUAUUCCUUACAUGGUACAUUUGUUCCAUUCCAUGGGUUAGAAUGUUCUAUUCGAAUCUGCAGGUGACCUCUCUGGGCCUUAUUCUUGUAUCUGGAAACAUAGGCAGUUAUGGCUGGCCUCAUGUCCCCUUAAAGGCCAAAGUUGAACACUACAUUAUCUGGGCAGAAAACACCUUAUUCUUAUUCCUCAACAGUUCUAACAACUCACAGCCCUUCUCAGUCCCUUUAUGAACACAGAUGUCGUUUUAAUGGGGGGGAGAGCUGAAGUGACAAGAAGGUGACCUGUGGGUGAACCCAGGAGCAGGUGAGGCCUGUCAGUUUUUAAUUUGAAACUGGUGUCAGGCCUGAGGAAUGGCUGGUAUAAUCACAUUUGUAACUGAUCUCCUAUAAACUCUGCAAACAUUCAAGGGAUGGCUGUUGUGAGCAAUAUGAAAUUAACAAUUCAUGUGCAGGUCUCUGGGCACCUAACUAAAUCAAAUGUAUCUUUGAAAACUGUAUAAAUACUGCAUGUUUUCCAGAUGACAAGAUUGGCAUAACUAAAAAGCACUGAUUGUACCCUUAAUGAAAGAUUUGUUUUUGGCAUCAAUUUAUAAAGACAUAAUAUUUUUAAAAGACAAUUACCAUUUCAAGGCAUAGUUUAUCACAUAGUCCAAGCACAAAAGGCCUAAAAUUAAACUCAAUGCUACCAUCACAUAACAUUCAUCUUCAAAAGUUAUGCGCUAAUGUAUACUUUCACAGAAUGUUUUCUGCUUAAAAUAUUUUCUAUCCAGUCCCUUAAGAUUUCAUAUAGCAAAAAUUCACUUUAACUUUAGAAGUAUUGCUAUUCAAUAAAUAUGCCUUAGGCACAACUUCUAAACUUUACAAUUGAUAGAAAAUUAUAUUAACCUGGAACUUGCCUACAAAAGUAAAAUUCAAAUGUUCUGUAGCAUUAUAACGGUGUCUCUACCAAACCAAGAAGAGUAUUUCAAAGCUCUACAAGUUAGAACACUUCUACAGGUUUAGAAAAUGAAGUGACAUUUAGUAUCUAGCAAUAGCGGUUGACUAUUAGAAGAAGAUUGCUUUGGGACACGAGAUUUGUCACUUUUCUUCCACAGAUUUAGGAGGAGAAGUAGUAAAAAUAAUCACUGGUAUUUUUAGUGAUUAUUUGCUGAGUACUGUCCUAAGCACUUUACAUGUACUGACUCUUCGAGUUUUCACAACCACGUUCUGAGAAAGAUCUGCUUAUUAUCCACAUUUUACAGAUCAAGAAACCUGAGCCGCAACAAGUUUAUGUAGCUUACUAAACCAAUCAAUAGUGGGCUCAGGAUUUGAACUCACAUCUGAUUUCAAAAACCCUCUCUCUUAACCAUUCUUUAUCACCCCCUGGGACAUAUCAAUUUUGUCACCUCACUGCUACUGUGACACUGAAGGACAUGAACAUGUGGACUACAUUAAAUUAUUUUCAACUAAAGGACAAGUGAGAUAGACUGACCAUGAUGUGUUUCCUGUUGGCAAAACAAUGGACUGUUCUUACUGCAUCUCCUUAGAACUCGGUCUUCUUAAGAACCAUUUCAGGUGCUAUCAUUCCCUAAAUUUUAGACAUAUGGAAUUUCUACACUUUGAAGUGGCCAGUCCUAUAUUAUUUCUUCUGCUGAAGCUAUUCACAUGUCUGAUAGAAGAAAACAUUGCAUAAGGAAAAGAGCUUAGACUGUGAAUUCAGAGAACUUGGAUAUGAAUCCCAGAUCUGCAACUUACCAUCUAGGCGAACUUGCUCAAAUGACUCAGCCUUACUGAACCUUGGUUUCUUUAUCCCUAUGAUGGUUUCAGGUUCUAACUGAGGUCUGAGGGAAGUCAGUGGGUGAGUGGCAGGUAGCUGGAAAAACACUCGAGGAAUCGUAGACAGUUUCAACAUGGCUUGACUUUCUCUCUGGGCGUGAGCUAGCCUUGUUGCGAGUGAGCCAUAGGCGCAAGCCGUAUGUACAGCAUCGGUAAGAUAGUUAUACCUUUUACAGACAACACCAGCUCUGAGCCAGCCACGAGCUCACAUGAGUGGUUACCUAAUGUGCCUCAGGUGGAGUGGUUACAUAAUGAGUAGAGUUGUGCACCUGCACUUCAAAUUCACUGAGUCAUGCCGGACCGGAUGUCUGCCUCAGCUGGUUCUUGACUGCAGCACAUCCACUUUCCUUACAGAUGGUAAAAAAAAAAAAAAAAAAAAAAAAAAAAAAGUUACUGGCAAGUAUGUUCUUAGAGGGUCAUUGUGAGACUCAGAUGAGACAGUGUAAAUAAAAGUACUUUGUAGAUAGGGAUAUACAGGGGUUAGCCCCAAAUAAAUAACUUACUUGAGCUAAUUGGUAUCACUUAGAGACCAGAUCAAGAGACAAUAUAACCUCAGAUUUCUUUCUUAUCACCCUUUUCUUUCAUAGCAGGGAGGCUUUAUAUAACGAAUACCCUCCUCUUUUCCUAAGCAAUGUGAGUAAAUAUUAAUGGUGGCCCUUCCUUAAGAUUUCAAUAGGAAUAGAUUCAGUAACAAAAUAAAAACAUUCACGUGCUAAUGAGUUUCCAGUGUCUCAAGUCCAAUGUCUCGAGGGCUUUCACGUGUGCUAUUUCUCUCCUUGGAUCACCAUUAAUGCACCUUCUUCACCUGUGUAUGCUUACAUACCCCUCUAGAGUCAAUUUAAGUCACUCUCUCUUAAGUCUUCUCUGAAUCCCCAUAUAGAUCUAAAUUCUAUUUCUCCUAUCAUCCAAUAGCAUCUGUUUUCUGCUUCUAUUGCACUCAGAACAUUGUAUUUUAACUACAUACCUGACUUUCUCCCAGCUUGAGUGCAAGACUUUAGAAGGCAGAGAACGUAGCUGAAUAUAUUUCUCUAUGCCUAGUAUCUAACACAGUGUCUGGCAUAGAGUAGAGGCUCAAUAAAGGAUUGCUGACUGUAGACUGGGAUCCAUGGUUUAUAGCCUAACAGACAUGAGAAAUGAACUUUGAAAAUAAAGUAAUUCUAUAAAUAAAAGGCAACUCAGGUGGGCAAUACAUUAAACUAAUACAUAAUAGGAGGAACAGAUAAGCAAUUUGUGGGAAACUAUUCAGUAACAAGCAAAGUAGAAGAAAAGAUGUAUUUCGAAUAUGAAGUAUUUUGAAAAUCAAUUAAAAUAAUUUAGACUUAAUACAGUAGGUUAUUUACUUACUAAUCAAUCAAUGUAUUCACUCAUUCAACAAACAUUUUUGAGUGCCUGCCAUGUGCCAUUUACUAAGUCACAAAAAUGAGUAGGCUAUGGUUCCCCCUUCCUUGAAGAGUUUAUAAUACUGUAAUUUCAUAAGAAGCAUUUGUGGAGAACCCCACAGCAUAAAAUUGGGAUAGUAGUCUGGAGGCUAAGUGUUUAUAAACCACAAAGCUAGAUAGGUAGCUGGAGGUUACACAAGCCAACUAAAUCAGUAGAGCACAUUCACUCUUCCCUCUGUCUCCACCAUAAUUAUCAGACAAAGGUCUAGGUCCCUGGCUCUUUGAUCUCAGUUAAAUUGCCUCAGCAUAGUGGAAAUUCCCAGGAGACCUGUUCACACAGCAGUGCAGCUCUGGCAUCAACAAAUUCCAUGCACAGAACUUCCUCUUCACACGACGUCUCACAAAGCCUUUUCUUCACUCUUCCUUUCUCUUCUUUACCUCUACAAUCCCUUUUUCCCUGUAUUGGUUUGCCAGAUAUGUAUUAGUUUGAAAGUGCCACAGACUGGGUAUUUAUUUUUCUCAUAGUUCAGGAGUCUGGAAUCUGAAAUCAAUUUAUCACAGGGUGGGUUUUUCCUCAGGGCUCUCUCCUAGGCGGUAGAUGGCUGUCUUCUUCCUGUGUCUUGACAUGGUCUUCCCUUUGUGUGCAUGCGGCAUGCUGGACCUGGUACUCCAAUAGGGAUGACACCAUGUUCAAGAAGCUGAAGAAGAGACCCAGAGCCAGGAAACAAGACACGGCGUUUAUUGAGGGAAGCAUACAUGCAGAGUGGCCCAGGCAGAACUGCCGUGGCCUGCAGAAAGUAUGCCAUUUAUAAGGCAUUUUUCACUCCCCCUAACAACCUCCACCUGGCAACCUUUGUUUAACCCAACACAAAGGGCCUCAGUUGCCUGUACAUCCCACGUUCCAUGGGACUGGAUGUAGGCUCAGAUGUUCUUCACAGAUAAGGAAUGAAUCUCUGGGCUGGCCACUCUCGGAUUCCUUAGCUUGGAACUGUGAACACAUACAUACUCAGGUGCAUCUGCCAUACGGAGUCAUUUUCAGGGUAUGCUUAAGUUCAGUUAUUGCUGUCAGGUAUAUCUACCAUACAUGUGCUUUUUGUCCUAAUCUCUUCUUAUAAGGACACCAGCCAUAUUGGAUUAGGGCCCAUGCUAAUGACCCCAUGUUAACUUAAUUAAAACCCCAUCUUCAAAUACAGUCACACUCUGAGGGACUGGAGGUUAGGAUUUCAACAUGUGAAUUUGGAGGAGUCAGGAUUCAGCCUGUAACUAUCACUGUCCCAUCUCUUCCUAGCAUCAAGUGAUUUUAAAAACUGCAGCCACGGUGCCACUUCCAUCUCUGACUGAGCGUGAAUCUACAAUCCCAGCUCUAUAGAGUUUAGAAUAAUGAGUUACUUAAAUUAGCUGCACUUUUGGAGAGUCUCCAGAAAUUUCAAAGGAAAAAAAAGCCACUGGUACUGGAUUUCAUAUCCAGAGAUUUGAUUUAAUUGGUUCAGGUUGUAGUCUGGCCAUGGGGAUUGUUAAAAGCUCCCCAAAGGGCUCAAAUAUAUAGUCAGGGACAAGAACCAGAGGAAGGACUACUUGAGUUAAGGGUGGUAGGGAUAUUCAAAUAUAAAUGGGGUGACUCAGUGAGUUCAGAUGAGGAAGUUAUUUAAAAAUUUUUUAUUAUACAACACACUGAAAAAAAAAAUCAAGGCUUGAUUGACUUUCUUGCCUCUAAAGAUGUUUCCCAUGACUGGUGCUGACUUGAUCAUUUACUAGUAGUAAGUUAACCAGUAAAUGAUCAAAGAAUAACUGCCAAUAAGGACCCCUGUGACAGCCAAAGCUCUAGCAGUAUUUUCUGCCUUUAAGAACCCAAAGCUUGAGUGGAUGGAGAAGGGGAAACUAAAUCCACUUUCAUGGUCUCCACCACUUCAGAGAAAUACCAAUGACAAACCCAAAAUAAAUGAUUUUGAGUGAGUUCUUUUUUACAUUUUCUAAUUCCUGAAAGUGUUGUUUUAAUAAAUAUCAUAAAGCUAACUUAAGAAGGAAACUUUGGAACUCUGUUGCAAUUUAUUAAAAACUGGGUUUACAACUGAUCAUUUACACUGAACUCCCAUUGUGUCCUCAAUUUAGAUAAUGCACAUGUAUGGCUAGUUUUCCCAAUCAGCAGAUCCUUGUGACGCAUGGCCCUGAUGCUAUAUUUGAGUUUAGAGAAAGAAAAUACAUACUUUAUUGCAAAAGAAAUUUCAAACUUAAAAAAUUAACUACAAAAACUAAAAUGCCUGGCUUCUAGAGAAUCUGACUUUGAAAUAAUAGUGGAGUUUAGUUUAAAACUUCUCAUUUUAUUAUUCAGACAAUUGAAGUCAAAGUAGAGAUUAGAGAUGUAGAGGAAGAAGACUUAUAGAAAAGAAAAUCUCUCUUUUACUUAAGCUAAGUGUCUUAGUCCAUUUUGUGUUGUUAUAAAGGAAUACCUGAGGCUGGGUAUAAAGAAAAGAGGUUUAUUUGCCCCAUGGUUCUGCGGGCUGUACAAGAAGCAUGGUAUCAGCACCUGCUUCUCGUGAGGGCCUUGGAAAUCUUCCACUCAUGAUGGAAGGUGGAAGGAAGCCAGGAUCACUCACGUGGCAAGAGAGGAGGAAAGAGAGAGGAGAUGUGCCAGCCUCUUUUUAACAAUCAGUUCUCACAGGAACUAAUAGAGCAAGAACUCACUCAUUACAGCAAGGACAGCACCCACCUUUCUGAGAGUUCCACCCUCAUUAACCAAACACCUCCCACCAGGAUGAAAUUUCAACAUGAGAUUCAGAGGGGACAAAUAUUCAAACUAUAUCACUCAGUUUCAAAUAAUUAUACUUCAAAAAUACCAAGCAAUGUUUGAAAGUCUUGAAAAGUACCUUUUUGAGCAGUUUUUCUAAAACUUCAAAUUUUAUGGCUGUAGUGCUGUAAUUACAAAAGCUAUGACACCAUACUUCAUUUGAAUGUAAUUCAUUUUUCUUCUUUAAAAAAACUUAGAGAAAUAUUUCUGACUUCUGAAUUCUAUAUGCUUCUUCCUUAUAUUACAUAUGAAUUGCGAUUCUCAAACACGAUCUUCUUCACUGGUAAUUUUCAUUUUCUGUUUCAUUUACUUCUGUAUUUCUCCACACAUGCAUACAUACACACUCACUGUUUAAUGAAAUGGGAAUGAUGUCUACACUCUGGUAGAAAUCCACUGACACAAGCCAAUGAGGUCAAUCCUCAACUACCAAACUAGUUUUGCUCCAAGAUCCAUGUGUGAUAUGCUUAUAACUUGAAAAAUAUUUUCCUCCAUAAAGAAUUACAAUUAGUGGCUGUAAUUGUAAUUAUACAACAAAGGCCAGUCAACAAAAAACAUGACAGAUACCUGUACUUUACUUACUAUAUAUUAGCAUACUAGUGUACACUCAGUUGGUAUACAGUGGUGUCUAGGGCAAGGCUAUACAAGAGAAAGGAAGAAGGGAUUUGCUUCCUCUUUCCGUGCUUUCAAAAUCACCCACCUAUUCUCUCUCUCAGUCAAAACCCACAUCUGUCAGUGUAGUCUACCUUAUUUAAAAAGCAUAGGUUACUUCCCUUCAUCCUCUCAACACUAUAAUAAGGUUUUCUUUCAGUUUUAUACCCAAGAAAACUAUGCAUCAGAAAGCUCGAGAAGCUUGCCUAAGAUAAAACUAUCAGACGUGGUAGAGUAGGGAUUCAAAUUCACAUUUGUCUCACUUUCAACCAAAUAAAAGAAACAUACUGGUCACCACCAGUAUUUGGUCUGAUUCUCAACCAAAUAAAAGAAACAUACAAGGUCACCACCAUGCCAUUCCCAAGAGAUUGCCCUUAUGAUCCAAAUACCCCCACCAGGCCCCACCUCUAACACUGAAGUUAAAAUUUCAACAUGAGAUUUAGCGGGGACAAAUCCUGAAACUAUUACUCAGUGUCAAUGAAAUGUACUUCGAAAACACGAGGCGAUGUUUAACAUACUUACGUACACUAAUGUGUGAAUGAAAUGGUCUUUCAGUCUCUGGAAUUCCCAACUACGAUAUCCAAAUACUCUUUCUUGGUCCUUAUCUGAAGUAUCUGAUACUAUUUAUUAAUCCCUCCUUCUUGGCUACCAUAACCAGACUUGGUAUUUUCCUUCUGUUUUUUUUUUCCAUCUUUUCUUUAAUCUGAUAACCUCCCUAGCCUUUCCAGAAGGCUAUUUUUUAUUUUCCCUAAGGUUAAAUUUGCCACAUUCUUCCCUUCUCAUGAUAUAUAUUUCCUCUUAAGAACCUCAGCCAUUCCCCUAUUUCAAUUAUUAUCCAUGGGUUGAUUAUUACAAAUCGUAUCUCUAGCCUAUAUUUAUCAGUUCUAGAACUUUCAUUCUAACAACUUACUAGAAGUUCCCACCUGCAUAAACCAUAAUGACCCCAAAUUCAACAUAUUCAAAACUGAACGUAUUAUCUUCUUCUAAAUACAUCCCUGCUUCUGGAGUCCCAGUUAUAUUUAUUGGCAUUGUAAUGAUCUGUCUAGCCUUCUAAGAUACAAAUCUGAGUCAUUCUUGACUUCACAUGCUCCCCAUCAUCCAGUUAUCAAGUUCUACCAAUUCUACUUACUAAACAAACAUCUCCUGAAUGUAUUUCCUCCUGUUUAUUCCCAUUGACUACAUUUCUCAUUAAGACUAUCUAAAUAUUUUUAAGUAGUGUUCCUGCUUCUAAUCUCACUGCAAACUUCUUCACCGUUAUUAUAUUAACAUUUUUUAAAUACUGUUCAACAAAUACUUGUUAAGCACCUAUUACAUGCCAGCAGUGUGCUGGAUCCUAAGGAUGUAAUGCAAAAGAAGACACAGGAAAGUCUCUCAGAAAGUUCACAGAUUCUAAAGGAAAAAAAAAGGCAAAAUAGAAUAUCUUUUAAGAAAUAUUAAAAUAGGAGUAAGCACAGGUUUCAAAAGAUUCAGAAAGAGAAGGCAUUUAACCUAAAUAGGAAGUUGGCUUUCUUUUUUAUGUUCCCAACACUUUGCACAUAUCUCUAUUUUUGUUAUUUCAACAAAGUCAUUGUUAGAAGAGCAUAAGAGCUGUGACCAAUAACCAGAAGUAAAAAGAAUCAAACAAUAAACAGACUAGAAGAAUCCAAUCAAGUGAUAACUAAGCAUGGUCAGCAGAAUCACGUCCAUGAAAGUGACUAAAGUUAUAAUAGAUUAGAAAAUGUUAGAGAAGGGAAUAAAACCCAGGGCAUAUUGAUUACAAAAGGAACCUCAUCCUGAAGGUUAUAGACUUGGAGUUUCCUGUUGUCUUAGUGACUCCAAAAUUUCUCAGUAUUUUCACUGACACUCAGGAUAAAUCAACAGCCAUAUCUUCCUGCUCAAACUCAAAUCCCAAAUCCAGAAACAUCAGCUCACCCAAGGUGGCAACCAUGUGAUAGUCAUGAAAUGUUUGACCUAGCAAUGCUAGCUUACCUAAGGCAACAAAUAAAUCUAUUACUCUUAAUGAGUAAAUGUUUGGAAAGAUUUGGAAAUAAACACAUCAAUUAUACCACAGAUGACUCUCAUAUUGCUAAUUAUUUCAUGUUAAAUUGAGGAUAAUCUAUAUAUGUUUGUUAAAGUAUUUGUAAUAUUUUUUAAAAGACCUAUCCAAGAAUUUGAAAGAUUAAUCCUUUGGUUUCAAUUUAAAUAUAUAAUUGUGUUUAAAAUAAUCAUUUUUAAGCUGAAAGUAUGAAAGAAUUUGGUUACAUUUGCUAAUAGUGUCAAAUCCUUUUUAAACUUAAACUUGAUUUUCUAACUUUAAUUUAUUAGAAUUUAGGAACUGUUUAAAGUACUUGAGAAGGUUUUUAUUAUUAGAAUUUAUAUAUUCCCAAUUAAACAUUUGAAGUAUUAAAAAUACAUUAACUGCCGGGCACGGUGGCUCACGCCUG
Molecule: long non-coding RNA, 17402 nt
Filed under: Homo sapiens (human)
Lineage: Eukaryota; Metazoa; Chordata; Mammalia; Primates; Hominidae
Description: HSALNT0019755
Source: RNAcentral